This 253-nucleotide ribosomal RNA is filed under the name uncultured bacterium. RNAcentral describes it as "partial 16S ribosomal RNA". It matches the Rfam family "Bacterial small subunit ribosomal RNA", at positions 524 to 776 of the family's 1533-position model. The record is from RNAcentral.
UACGAGAGGUGCAAGCGUUAUUCGGAAUUAUUGGGCGUAAAGGGCGCGUAGGCGGUUUGUUAAGUUUGUUGUUAAAGCCUCUGGCUUAACUAGAGAUCAGCAAUAAAAACUGGCAAGCUAGAGUGUGAAAGAGAGAAGUGGAAUUCCCGGAGUAGCGGUAAAAUGCGUAGAUCUCGGGAGGAACACCAAUGGCGAAGGCUGCUUCUUGGUUCACAACUGACGCUGAGGCGCGAAAGCGUGGGGAGCAAACAGG